UGCCUUGAGGUGGGGGACAACAGUUGGAAACGACUGCUAAUACCGCAUAAUGUCUACGGACCAAAGGGGGCUUCGGCUCUCGCCUUUAGAUUGGCCCAAGUGGGAUUAGCUAGUUGGUGAGGUAAUGGCUCACCAAGGCGACGAUCCCUAGCUGGUUUGAGAGGAUGAUCAGCCACACUGGGACUGAGACACGGCCCAGACUCCUACGGGAGGCAGCAGUGGGGAAUAUUGCACAAUGGGCGCAAGCCUGAUGCAGCCAUGCCGCGUGUGUGAAGAAGGCCUUCGGGUUGUAAAGCACUUUCAGUCAGGAGGAAAGGUUAGUAGUUAAUACCUGCUAGCUGUGACGUUACUGACAGAAGAAGCACCGGCUAACUCCGUGCCAGC
This 384-nucleotide ribosomal RNA is filed under the name Alteromonadales bacterium HD-I-03-13. RNAcentral describes it as "bacterial SSU rRNA". It matches the Rfam family "Bacterial small subunit ribosomal RNA", at positions 127 to 512 of the family's 1533-position model. The record is from RNAcentral. Lineage: Bacteria; Pseudomonadati; Pseudomonadota; Gammaproteobacteria; Alteromonadales.